CCUACGGGGUGGCUGCAGUGGGGAAUAUUGGACAAUGGGGGGAACCCUGAUCCAGCCAUGCCGCGUGUGUGAAGAAGGCCCUCGGGUUGUAAAGCACUUUCAGUGAGGAAGAACGCCUGGUGGUUAAUACCCAUCAGGAAAGACAUCACUCACAGAAGAAGCACCGGCUAACUCCGUGCCAGCAGCCGCGGUAAUACGGAGGGUGCGAGCGUUAAUCGGAAUUACUGGGCGUAAAGCGCGCGUAGGUGGCUUGAUAAGCCGGUUGUGAAAGCCCCGGGCUCAACCUGGGAACGGCAUCCGGAACUGUCAAGCUAGAGUGCAGGAGAGGAAGGUAGAAUUCCCGGUGUAGCGGUGAAAUGCGUAGAGAUCGGGAGGAAUACCAGUGGCGAAGGCGGCCUUCUGGACUGACACUGACACUGAGGUGCGAAAGCGUGGGUAGCAAACAGGAUUAGAUACCCGAGUAGUC
RNAcentral lists this ribosomal RNA (466 nucleotides) under Vreelandella stevensii. RNAcentral describes it as "partial 16S ribosomal RNA". It matches the Rfam family "Bacterial small subunit ribosomal RNA", at positions 338 to 795 of the family's 1533-position model. Lineage: Bacteria; Pseudomonadati; Pseudomonadota; Gammaproteobacteria; Oceanospirillales; Halomonadaceae. The record is from RNAcentral.